GGGAGCUAAUUCUUCUAUCAGAAUUGGAACAGUACAAGAUCACUAGUGAGCCACUAUAUUUAGAUUCUUCGCCUAUUCGCAGUGGUUCGUCACUUGAAUGAAAGCUAUUGAUUCAGCACAGAACAUUUGUAAUGGGUGACGGUACAUGGGCUUCAGAAGAGGAUGACUUGCUAAGGGAACACGUGAACAUGCAAGUAUGUAUAUUCAAAUUGAUGACAAUAAAUAUCAAUUUAUUCAUAGAAGAAUUUCCUUC
Asparagus officinalis (garden asparagus) is the source of this 253-nucleotide long non-coding RNA. RefSeq lists it as uncharacterized. The transcript has 2 exons. NCBI's taxonomy places the organism in Eukaryota, Viridiplantae, Streptophyta, Magnoliopsida, Asparagales, Asparagaceae. The record is from RefSeq and is a predicted model, not a curated record.